GUGGAUUAGAUACCCGGGUAGUCCACGCCCUAAACGAUGUCUACUAGUUGUCGGGUCUUAAUUGACUUGGUAACGCAGCUAACGCGUGAAGUAGACCGCCUGGGGAGUACGGUCGCAAGAUUAAAACUCAAAGGAAUUGACGGGGACCCGCACAAGCGGUGGAUGAUGUGGAUUAAUUCGAUGCAACGCGAAAAACCUUACCUACCCUUGACAUGGAUGGAAUCUCCGAGAGAUUGGAGAGUGCCCGAAAGGGAACCAUUACACAGGUGCUGCACGGCCGUCGUCAACU
Molecule: ribosomal RNA, 289 nt
Filed under: uncultured bacterium
Lineage: Bacteria
Description: partial 16S ribosomal RNA
Rfam family: Bacterial small subunit ribosomal RNA
Source: RNAcentral